This 446-nucleotide ribosomal RNA is filed under the name uncultured bacterium. Its description in RNAcentral is "partial 16S ribosomal RNA". It matches the Rfam family "Bacterial small subunit ribosomal RNA", at positions 338 to 795 of the family's 1533-position model. The record is from RNAcentral.
CCUACGGGCGGCUGCAGUCGAGAAUCAUUCACAAUGGGGGAAACCCUGAUGGUGCGACGCCGCGUGGGGGAAUGAAGGUCUUCGGAUUGUAACCCCCUGUCAUGUGGGCGCAAAUUAAAAAGAUAGUACCACAAGAGGAAGCGACGGCCAACUCUGUGUCAGCAGCCGCGGUAAUACAGAGGUCUCAAGCGUUGUUCGGAAUCACUGGGCGUAAGCCGUGCGUAGGCUGUUUCGUAAGUCGGGUGUGAAAGGCGCGGGCUCAACCCGCGGACGGCACAUGAUACUGCGAGACUGGAGUAAUGGAGGGGGAACCGGAAUUCUCGGUGUAGCAGUGAAAUGCGUAGAUAUCGAGAGGAACACUCGUGGCGAAGGCGGGUUCCUGGACAUUAACUAACGCUGAGGCACGAAGGCCAGGGGAGCGAAAGGGAUUAGAUACCCCUGUAGUC